CCCAAGUCAUCACCAUGAAAGCAUGAAACUUUAGUCACCUACCCAAGGGGAUUCAUGGACAUAUUUCAAGAAUUUUCUCCAAGGGACCGUGCUUAUAGACUACCUGGUCAGGGUAGGAAUGAAGCCAGGGAGCCAAAGGAAGGCUUCCAGCCAGGGAGAGCAAACUGAAGGAAACUGCCUCCAGUGCCAGUGCCAUUGGGUUAUAGCAGAAUAGCCUGUGCAGUUCGUGAGACUCCAUCGAGGGAUUAGAGCUCAGUGAUGAUCUUUCUGACACGUGGAUUUGGGGACUUGUCUGACCAUUUAAGUGUGCUGUUACAUCUGUGACUUUCCAGCAGUGUGCCUGUGACCAUGGAGACACCCUCAUGGAGCAUCAAUUGAGACAAGUACUACAGGAUCCACUCUGGGAGCUCCGGUCAGACUUGUAAAGGCACAUCCACAGCACAGAUGUGGAGUAUCCCUCCCAAGGGGUGCAGCUAAGCAGAUCAAGCCGCUGCCUACAGCUGGGUUUUCCAUCUAGUCACUGGGUCGCAACAAGCUAACUUCAGCUGCCACCACUCAGAGGCCAAUGAGGAGAGUCUAUAAAAUUCCCCUCAAGUUCUCUUUGUUAGUGAUCUAACACGCAGCUCGAAGUGGGUCUUCCAGAUCACCAGGCAGCUGUCCUCCAAGUGGUGAUGUGAGACCAAGCUCCUUCUACCUGAUGACUCCACCAUCUUCAACUCUGGCCCCCCGGGUCAUCCUGGAGCCCAAUAUCCACCAGCAGAGCAAGAGGAGAGGACAUAGAAGUGUGCAAGGAGGUUUUUAUGGGCCAGGCCUGAAGCUGCAUACAUUACUUCUACACCCAUUCCACUGUCCAGAACUCAGUCUCACGGUUGCAUCUCACUACUGGGAAGACUGGGAAACAUAGUCCAGCAGUCACUGCCCCAGCCAUAAUUUUUAGUAAUAGAAACACAAACAUCACUCCAAUGCAGUUAUGAAUUUUUCUUUAUGUAUUAUGUAAUACUGUUUAUAUUUUUCUCAGUUUUUAGUAUGACACAGAUAUGAAACUAAAAGGCAAGGUGGUGUGGUGAAAUGAGCAGUGGUCUUGGAGACGUGGCUUCUAAUCCUCUGUGAUCUUGGACGUAUCACUCAGCCAAUCUGAACCCCAGUCCUUAUCUGCAGAAUGAUAGGGGUAAAGCCAGCUGGUAACUGUGUAGUCUCCUCUACUCCCAUCUUCCCAGCUCCAAAGGUUUACAGUUUUUUUCACAAAAGUAAUGCAAAAUAAAACAUGCAGUGACUCUCAGAGUAGACAAGUGAUAGGUUACAAGUCUUGGAUGAGUGAAGAUGAGAAGAUUUCUUGAAGAGAAGCAGCUUUAAGCCUGUUCUUGGAGGAGGUGAUAGUCCUGAAUAGAAGGAAUGAAGUAUGGAAUGCUAUGCAAGGAAGGGGUGAAGAGGACCAUAAAUAAGAAUUUGGGGGAGGGAGCAUGGCAAGGAGAAUAGCCUGGCUGAAAAUAUGAAUGUGUUAGAGUGGGGCUGGGGGUGAACUGAAGAUAUAGUUUGAUAGGUAGAGGGUAAGAAAACAUUAAUGAUAGACUACCACACUUAGGCCAUAUUUCAUCCAAAAGGAUCCCAAUAGGAAGCCAAUUAUGGUUUUUUUCUAUGGGCAAGUGACAUCAUGAAAAUCUGUUAGUCAUUGUGAAAAGAAAUCUGAUUAGAUCAUAGCACUUGAUGUGACCUUACCCUUUUUAAGUCGCUGAACUUCUAAAGUCUAAAUGCUCCAUAAAUAAUCUUCCAAAUAUGUUAGUUAUCUGAAUUCUAUACCCAUUUCAAGGAAGAAGAAAGAGUUUUACAUGGUAAUGGGGAAAAGGAUGAGGAUGUGGGAAGAAUCAAUAGUUUGAAAGAAUUGAAAGAGAGCCCUCAGUUCUCUGCUUUAUUUUAUUUUAUUUUUUUAAAUCUAGGAUAAAUAUGUAGGUAAGACAUGAGUCAGAGCAAACUCAGAAAGUACCUAGAAGCCUUCAGCAUUUGAAGCAGGCUCGCUAGUUUCAUGUGGGUGAAGUUUGGUUUUCAGGAAGACAAAUUGAAAAUAGAACUUGUUUGUUUAGAUUUUGCCAUUCUCUAGGGACGUCCAAGGAUGUUCAAUGAACUGAGAGGGGAAGAAUUGGUUCUUGGGAACUGCUGCAGGGAGCCUUGUUUGGAGAGAGUAUGGCCCUGGAGUGGACCCUCAGCACAUUGCAGUUUUUCUCUGGACCUAGUCUGGGAAGACAUGGUCUUAGCAAAGAUGGAAUUCCACGCAAGUGGAAAGUUGUGAAGGCGGGCUCCUAUAGCAUAUACAACAUCAGUGAACAAAAGUGGUGGGAAGUCACUGAAAUGAAAGCUGGCAGAAUGGUUUCUAGCAUCUCACCUUUUACCAACGAUACUCUGCUGCUUUGAGCCUUCAUAUUCAAAAUCCAGGUUUUGUAACAAUAAGAAAAAGUGCUGUUUUUACCUGUGAAAUUCUAAAACUCCUAACCAUCAGAGAAUGAAGUGGGUGAUUGCCUGAAAACGACUCAUACAUUCCUUGAACAUUUCUCUCAAAAAGUGAUUCUUUUAUGAACAUGUAGAGGAAGC
RNAcentral lists this long non-coding RNA (2583 nucleotides) under Equus caballus (horse). RNAcentral's name for it is "lncRNA (ENSECAG00000047943.1)". The record is from RNAcentral. Lineage: Eukaryota; Metazoa; Chordata; Mammalia; Perissodactyla; Equidae.